This 696-nucleotide ribosomal RNA is filed under the name uncultured Bacillus sp. Its description in RNAcentral is "bacterial SSU rRNA". It matches the Rfam family "Bacterial small subunit ribosomal RNA", at positions 272 to 947 of the family's 1533-position model. The record is from RNAcentral. Lineage: Bacteria; Bacillati; Bacillota; Bacilli; Caryophanales; Bacillaceae.
GGCAACCGAUGCGUUAGCCGGACUGAGAGGGGUGAUUCGGCCACACUUGGAACUGAGAACACGGCCCAGACUCCUACGGGAGCAGCAGUUAGGGAAUCUUCGCCAAUGGACGAAAGGUCUACGGAGGCACGCCGCGUGAAGUGAAUGAAGAGUUUUCGGAUCGUAAACUUCUGUUGUAGAGGAAGGACCAAGUACAAGAGGUAACUGCUUGUACCCUGACGGUACCUAACCAGAAAAGCACGGCUAACUACGUGCCAGCAGCCGCGGUUAUACGUAGGUGACAAGCGUGUCCGGGAAUUAUUGGGCGUAAAGCGCGCGCAGGCGGUCCUUUAAGUCUGAUGUGAAAGCCCACGGCUCAACCGUGGAGGGUCAUUGGAAACUGGGGGACUUGAGUGCAGAAGAGAAGAGUGGAAUUCCACGUGUAGCGGUGAAAUGCGUAGAGAUGUGGAGGAACACCAGUGGCGAAGGCGACUCUUUGGUCUGUAACUGACGCUGAGGCGCGAAAGCGUGGGGAGCAAAACAGGAUUAGAUACCCUGGUAGUCCACGCCGUAAACGAUGAGUGCUAAGUGUUAGAGGGUUUCCGCCCUUUAGUGCUGCAGCAAACGCAUUAAGCACUCCGCCUGGGGAGUACGGCCGCAAGGCUGAAACUCAAAGGAAUUGACGGGGGCCCGCACAAGCGGUGGAGCAUGUGGUUU